Molecule: ribosomal RNA, 468 nt
Filed under: uncultured bacterium
Lineage: Bacteria
Description: partial 16S ribosomal RNA
Rfam family: Bacterial small subunit ribosomal RNA
Source: RNAcentral
GACGAACGCUGGCGGCGUGCUUAACACAUGCAAGUCGAACGGAAAGGCCCUGCUUUUGUGGGGUGCUCGAGUGGCGAACGGGUGAGUAACACGUGAGUAACCUGCCCUUGACUUUGGGAUAACUUCAGGAAACUGGGGCUAAUACCGGAUAGGAGCUCCUGCUGCAUGGUGGGGGUUGGAAAGUUUCGGCGGUUGGGGAUGGACUCGCGGCUUAUCAGCUUGUUGGUGGGGUAGUGGCUUACAAAGGCUUUGACGGGUAGCCGGCCUGAGAGGGUGACCGGCCACAUUGGGACUGAGGUACGGACCAGACUCCUACGGGAGGCAGCAGUGGGGAAUAUUGCACAAUGGGCGGAAGCCUGAUGCAGCAACGCCGCGUGCGGGAUGACGGCCUUCGGGUUGUAAACAGCUUUCGCCUGUGACGAAGCGUGAGUGACGGUAAUGGGUAAAGAAGCACCGGCUAACUACGUG